GCUGUCGUUGUGUAGUGGUUAUCACAUCUGCUUUACACGCAGAAGGUCCUCGGUUCGAUCCCGGGCGAUAGCA
Conidiobolus coronatus NRRL 28638 is the source of this 73-nucleotide transfer RNA. It matches the Rfam family "tRNA". From Rfam's summary of the family: Transfer RNA (tRNA) molecules are approximately 80 nucleotides in length. Their secondary structure includes four short double-helical elements and three loops (D, anti-codon, and T loops). The record is from Rfam. NCBI's taxonomy places the organism in Eukaryota, Fungi, Entomophthoromycota, Entomophthoromycetes, Entomophthorales, Conidiobolaceae.